Anisakis simplex (herring worm) is the source of this 113-nucleotide non-coding RNA. NCBI's taxonomy places the organism in Eukaryota, Metazoa, Nematoda, Chromadorea, Rhabditida, Anisakidae. The record is from Rfam.
AUCAAUAUCCAUUUGAGGUUCCAAAAACUUAUUUGGGAAUGCUAGUUGGUUCAAUUUGUGCAUUAAUGGGUGUUCUUACAAUCGCGCUGCCUGUUCCAGUUAUUGUUUCGAAU